GUUCCCAGCCCAGUGUGUUUUUUCUCUUCCUUUGUUGUAAGAUAAAACACAACUGAAGUUAAAACUGUGUGGCAUAGACUUUACAAAAGCCAAGUAAGUUGAGGAAGGGACGAUGGGGAGCUUUGAGUGAUUAAAGAAGUAAAGGAGGAGAUAAUGAUGUGGGGUAUGCCUGUGAGGAAUAAGUGGAGGAAGGAGAGUAAUCCAGCCAGGGAGAACCAAAUACCUGUUAUGAUCAUGGGGCAGAGAAAAGCCAGCUAGACCAACAUGAAAGGACCCAGAUUGGCAAAGGUCGCACCAUCUGGAGCACUGCUGGUCGCUGUGGCAGGAGAGAAGAAUGGAGUGGUACAUCCCUUGCUGCUGUCUAACACUGCAGCCUCGAAGAGACAUAUGUCACUUUUGCUCCCGACCCACUAGCCAAAAGUAGGCAUGUGUACCCCUCUAGGGGAACUUCAGGAUGUUUGGUGAGCAGUAAGUGUUUCUUCCAGGAUAUAAAGCCUAAUAAAAAUUUAAAGUAUGA
Long non-coding RNA from Manis javanica (Malayan pangolin), 517 nucleotides. RefSeq lists it as uncharacterized. NCBI's taxonomy places the organism in Eukaryota, Metazoa, Chordata, Mammalia, Pholidota, Manidae. The record is from RefSeq and is a predicted model, not a curated record.